RNAcentral lists this transfer RNA (76 nucleotides) under Alphaproteobacteria bacterium. Its description in RNAcentral is "tRNA-Phe(gaa)". It matches the Rfam family "tRNA". Rfam says of the family: Transfer RNA (tRNA) molecules are approximately 80 nucleotides in length. Their secondary structure includes four short double-helical elements and three loops (D, anti-codon, and T loops). Lineage: Bacteria; Pseudomonadati; Pseudomonadota; Alphaproteobacteria. The record is from RNAcentral. RNAcentral also lists the same sequence under 2 other names.
GGUUUGGUAGCUCAGUUGGUAGAGCAAAGGACUGAAAAUCCUUGUGUCGGCGGUUCGAUUCCGCCCCAAACCACCA